Molecule: ribosomal RNA, 253 nt
Filed under: uncultured bacterium
Lineage: Bacteria
Description: partial 16S ribosomal RNA
Rfam family: Bacterial small subunit ribosomal RNA
Source: RNAcentral
UACAGAGGGGGCAAGCGUUGUUCGGAAUUACUGGGCGUAAAGGGCGCGUAGGCGGCCUUCUAAGUCGAACGUGAAAUCCCCGGGCUCAACCCGGGAACUGCGUCCGAGACUGGAAGGCUUGAAUCCGGGAGAGGGAUGUGGAAUUCCAGGUGUAGCGGUGAAAUGCGUAGAUAUCUGGAGGAACAUCGGUGGCGAAGGCGGCAUCUUGGACCGGUAUUGACGCUGAGGCGCGAAAGCCAGGGGAGCAAACGGG